RNAcentral lists this unclassified non-coding RNA (277 nucleotides) under uncultured fungus. RNAcentral's name for it is "partial contains 5.8S ribosomal RNA, internal transcribed spacer 2, and large subunit ribosomal RNA". Lineage: Eukaryota; Fungi. The record is from RNAcentral.
AACGCACAUUGCGCCCUUUGGCAUUCCGAAGGGCAUGCCUGUUCGAGCGUCAUUAUCCUCCCUCAAACCCCCCUGUCGUGGGGGUGGUUUGGUGUUGGACCACGUCGGAUCGUCCGCGGUCGACGGGUCUCAAAGACAAUGACGGCGUCUGUUCGACCCUCUUCGCACUGAGCUUUCCGGAGCACGCGUCGAGUUGCAAGGUCGCACGGGCCCGGCCAACCCCAUGAAUCUUUCUCAGGUUGACCUCGGAUCAGGUAGGAAUACCCGCUGAACUUAA